This 177-nucleotide ribosomal RNA is filed under the name Veillonella sp. Its description in RNAcentral is "partial 23S ribosomal RNA". It matches the Rfam family "Bacterial large subunit ribosomal RNA", at positions 2753 to 2925 of the family's 2925-position model. Lineage: Bacteria; Bacillati; Bacillota; Negativicutes; Veillonellales; Veillonellaceae. The record is from RNAcentral.
GUUCGGGACGGAUAAACGCUGAAAGCAUCUAAGCGUGAAACCAGCCUUGAGAUGAGGUUUCUCAUAGCAUAAGCUAGUAAGAUCCCAUGUAGACGACAUGGUUGAUAGGCCAGGUGUGGAAGAGCCGUGAGGUUUGGAGCUGACUGGUACUAAUAGAUCGAGGGCUUUACUUAAACA